RNAcentral lists this long non-coding RNA (1629 nucleotides) under Podarcis lilfordi (Lilford's wall lizard). Lineage: Eukaryota; Metazoa; Chordata; Lepidosauria; Squamata; Lacertidae. The record is from RNAcentral.
CAUCCGCUUUUGAUUCAAUCUGUAGGGACAAAUUAUGGCAAAAACUAUAUGAAACAGAUAUUGAUAGACGACUUCUCAAAAUACUUAGAGAGUUACAUUCAGACACCACAGUUAAAAUCAGAACUGGGAUGUCAGGCAACUAUACUGACCCACUGCCACUGGGGAAAGGGGUUAAACAGGGCUGUUUGUUAGCGCCGUUCCUCUUUAAUUUCUAUAUAAAUGACAUUGUUCAACAUAUGGCAAAGUAUAACUCAUCAGCUCCUGCCCUGGAAGGCAAACACCUGAAUAUAUUACUAUAUGCUGAUGACAUGGCUGUCAUGGCACUUACUCGAAGGGGCCUACAUAGCAUGCUGGAGGGGCUCGCAGCUUAUUGUUCCCAAAAUUCUCUAAAGAUAAAUUAUGACAAAACAAAAAUUGUGGUAUUCACUAGAGCUCGCCACACAUUUAGAUGGUCUUUAGAUGAACACAAAAUUGAACAGUGUCUUUCUUUUAAAUAUCUUGGUAUCACUUUCCAAGCUACAUCUAGCUGGCUUGCCCACUUCAAGACUGUAGCCCUUCUAACACGUAGGACAAUCGGUGCUUUGCUCAGCUUUUUUAUUCGAGGGAGGUCAACUGGUGAUCCCGGCAUUAAAAGCUUUUGUUGGAAAAGUGAUUCCCCAGAUGCUAUAUGGAGUAGAACUCUGGGGAUGGAAUCAGAAGCUGUUAGAACGGCUUGAAAUCUUCCAAAAUUUUUACCUCAGAAGAAUUCUAGGCCUCCCUCAGAGUACUCCGGCAGCUCUCCUAAGAGUGGAAGUAGGAUUACCUUCUGUGUCUGCCAGGGCCCACUUAAGAUUCCUGCGUUUUUUCAUCAACCUCACAGAUGCCCCGAACACCUUAUUGGCUAAACAAGCCUUUGUAUCAGUACAAAAUAAUACUACUUGGUAUAAAAACCUACUAGAUAUCCUAUCCAGAUACAAUCUACCUGAGUUUAAUACCCUUAAAUUGUGGAGCCCUGAUAAAGUUCGGGAAUGGAUCUUUGAAAAAGACGCCUUUUUAGACUCCACAAAGAUAAAAACUCUGGGUUUUCCUACUGGUUUCCCGAGUAAAAGCAGUCAAAAUCUGUGCCAACUACUUGGUGGAGAUCACUGAUCCCACCCUUCGGAGAGCUUUCACUAUGGCACGGUUUCAAACACUGCCAACUGCAUAUCUGACCGGUAGAUUCACAAAAACCCCAGUAGAACAUCGUUUAUGCCCUUGCCUAAUGAAAAUUAAAGAGGAUCUUACACAUUACCUCCUCUAUUGCCCCAUCUACUCGGGCUUUAGAGACGCAUUGCUGCAAAUUAUACCCAACUCUAUAACCAAUCCUGAAGAUAGAGUAAAAUUUUUGUUAGUUGAUGCAAACCCACGUAUUACCCAUGUGGUAGCGGUUUUUGUGAUGAAGGCCAUGAAAGCCAGGGAAAGACUUAUGGAUGACAAUGUAAAGACCCCUUCAUCGUCUGUUUAACUCGUUGCUCGUUUUCCCUCUCUUUCUAUUUUGUGGGAUGAAGGUUUUGUUGGCGUAGUAUGUAAUGAAUUUUAAUAUUUUUUUUUAACUAUUGUUAUGUUAAUGUUUGUGUACAGGCAUGGUCCUCACAAUAAACGGAUUUGAUU